GACGAACGCUGGCGGCGUGCUUAACACAUGCAAGUCGAACGCUGAAGCCUAGCUUGCUGGGUGGAUGAGUGGCGAACGGGUGAGUAACACGUGAGUAACCUGCCCUCUUCUUUGGGAUAACGCCCGGAAACGGGUGCUAAUACUGGAUAUUCACUGAUCUUCGCAUGGGGGUUGGUGGAAAGGUUUUUUCUGGUGGGGGAUGGGCUCGCGGCCUAUCAGCUUGUUGGUGGGGUGAUGGCCUACCAAGGCUUUGACGGGUAGCCGGCCUGAGAGGGUGACCGGUCACAUUGGGACUGAGAUACGGCCCAGACUCCUACGGGAGGCAGCAGUGGGGAAUAUUGCACAAUGGGCGAAAGCCUGAUGCAGCGACGCCGCGUGAGGGAUGGAGGCCUUCGGGUUGUAAACCUCUUUCGCUCAUGGUCAAGCCGCAACUUAGGGUUGUGGUGAGGGUAGUGGGUAAAGAAGCGCCGGCUAACUACGUGCCAGCAGCCGCGGUAAUACGUAGGGCGCGAGCGUUGUCCGGAAUUAUUGGGCGUAAAGGGCUUGUAGGCGGUUGGUCGCGUCUGCCGUGAAAUCCUCUGGCUUAACUGGGGGCGUGCGGUGGGUACGGGCUGACUUGAGUGCGGUAGGGGAGACUGGAACUCCUGGUGUAGCGGUGGAAUGCGCAGAUAUCAGGAAGAACACCGGUGGCGAAGGCGGGUCUCUGGGCCGUUACUGACGCUGAAGAGCGAAAGCNUGGGGAGCGAACAGG
Molecule: ribosomal RNA, 751 nt
Filed under: uncultured Actinomyces sp.
Lineage: Bacteria; Bacillati; Actinomycetota; Actinomycetes; Actinomycetales; Actinomycetaceae
Description: bacterial SSU rRNA
Rfam family: Bacterial small subunit ribosomal RNA
Source: RNAcentral